Molecule: transfer RNA, 73 nt
Filed under: Sulfurivirga caldicuralii
Lineage: Bacteria; Pseudomonadati; Pseudomonadota; Gammaproteobacteria; Thiotrichales; Piscirickettsiaceae
Rfam family: tRNA
About the family: Transfer RNA (tRNA) molecules are approximately 80 nucleotides in length. Their secondary structure includes four short double-helical elements and three loops (D, anti-codon, and T loops).
Source: Rfam by way of RNAcentral
GCGCCCAUAGUUUAACGGGAUAAAACAGGGGCCUCCUAAGCCCCGGCUCCAGGUUCGAGUCCUGGUGGGCGCG